Molecule: ribosomal RNA, 259 nt
Filed under: uncultured bacterium
Lineage: Bacteria
Description: partial 16S ribosomal RNA
Rfam family: Bacterial small subunit ribosomal RNA
Source: RNAcentral
UACGUAGGGUGCAAGCGUUGUCCGGAAUUAUUGGGCGUAAAGAGCUCGUAGGCGGUGUGUCACGUCGGCCGUGAAAACCUGCAGCUUAACUGUGGGCGUGCGGUCGAUACGGGCAUCACUGGAGUUCGGCAGGGGCUACUGGAAUUCUCGGUGUAGCGGUGAAAUGCGUAGAUAUCGAGAGGAAACACCUGCGGCGAAGGCGGGUAGCUGGGGCCGACACUGACGCUGAGGAGCGAAAAGCAUGGGGUAGCGAAACAGG